This 1011-nucleotide long non-coding RNA is filed under the name Oryctolagus cuniculus (rabbit). RNAcentral's name for it is "lncRNA (ENSOCUG00000038783.1)". Lineage: Eukaryota; Metazoa; Chordata; Mammalia; Lagomorpha; Leporidae. The record is from RNAcentral.
AUGGGUCUUGCCCCUGCUUUGUUCACACGUAGCUUUAGACAAGGCCCACCAAACCUUGGAGGCACACAGUCCAGAAUAACCUUGGGGCUGCGCCCUCGUGUUAGUCAUAUGAUUUGGGGUGAAUUAACAAGGACUCCAAGCCUCAGUUUCCUCAUGUGCACGGGAGAAUGCCAGCGCGCCAAGUCCUCCCGUGAGAGUAGGUGCCAACAUGAAGGCUGCCCGCUCCUCCUCUCGCCGCCCAAAUCCACCCCUCCACCCCCUCACACAGGGCGGCCAAUCGGCCAGGGGCAUCCCAGAGAUCCUUCUCGGGAAGGCCAUGUUCCCAGGGAACAGAGCAGGGGAAGCCACUGCCUCUUGCCUGGUACAGUCUGGAGAAGCUGGAUUGCCGGCUUUCCUGCCUGGGGCGUGAAAGCCCAGCCCUGCGCCGGGCAAGAGAAGCACCCGGUGCAGCCAACAGCCGCAUGUGGGUGCUGGAAAAACACUCCUUCUUCACCUGGGCUGCUCUCACCUGGGCAGGCAGCGGUGUGUGGUAAAGCACCCAGUUCCAGGAACACGCUGAUGGAGCCAUGGAAAUCCAGAGGGUGGAAGCAGCCCGAAGCUUACAAGGCACUGACUUAUAAGAUCAGAGCAAUAAAACUGGGUGCAGUCUGUCCCACGCUGGCAGACAUGGCCCCGGGGGGGUGGAAGGAGAGCAGGGGGUGGGCAGGGGGAGUAGUCGAACCUUCCAGCGUCUGUCAACAAGUGGGUUGCUGCCAGGGAGUGGUUCGGGACAUGGCCAAGGUCAUGCUGGGAACAGAGGACAUCAGGCCUGAUUCUGCCUGCUGGGAGAGCCCGUGCUUGGUAGCCCGGCCUGCCCCAGGCCCAGGCAAGCAGGUCCAUGGGGCUGCUCAGGGCUGGGGCCAGGUCACCUGGAUGCUGGUCCCCCCUCCCCCGGCAGUGAGGGCUGUGUCUCUGGGCUUCUGCUUCUUCUCCGGUGGCCCUAGAGAACCUGCCCAUCCUGCGAGCCUGUGA